RNAcentral lists this ribosomal RNA (497 nucleotides) under uncultured bacterium. RNAcentral describes it as "partial 16S ribosomal RNA". It matches the Rfam family "Bacterial small subunit ribosomal RNA", at positions 28 to 507 of the family's 1533-position model. The record is from RNAcentral.
GAUGAACGCUGGCGGCGUGCCUAAUACAUGCAAGUCGAGCGAACAGAUAAGGAGCUUGCUCCUUUGACGUUAGCGGCGGACGGGUGAGUAACACGUGGAUAACCUACCUAUAAGACUGGGAUAACUUCGGGAAACCGGAGCUAAUACCGGAUAACAUAUUGAACCGCAUGGUUCAAUAGUGAAAGGCGGCUUUGCUGUCACUUAUAGAUGGAUCCGCGCCGUAUUAGCUAGUUGGUAAGGUAACGGCUUACCAAGGCAACGAUACGUAGCCGACCUGAGAGGGUGAUCGGCCACACUGGAACUGAGACACGGUCCAGACUCCUACGGGAGGCAGCAGUAGGGAAUCUUCCACAAUGGGCGAAAGCCUGACGGAGCAACGCCGCGUGAGUGAUGAAGGUCUUCGGAUCGUAAAACUCUGUUAUCAGGGAAGAACAAAUGUGUAAGUAACUGUGCACAUCUUGACGGUACCUGAUCAGAAAGCCACGGCUAACUACGUG